GAGGACCGGGGCGGACGGGCCUCUGGUGGAGCGGUUGUCGACCAACGGCACCGCCGCCUAGCUACGCCCGGAACGGAUAACCGCUGAAAGCAUCUAAGCGGGAAGCCGGCUCCGAGAUGAGCUCCCUGUUCGGUAAGGGCCCGGGUAGAACACCCGGUCGACAGGCCGCAGCUGCAAGCGCCGCGAGGCGCUCAGGCGAGCGGUGCUGAUAGCCCGAGCUCUUCUUCAC
Molecule: ribosomal RNA, 229 nt
Filed under: Ellagibacter isourolithinifaciens
Lineage: Bacteria; Bacillati; Actinomycetota; Coriobacteriia; Eggerthellales; Eggerthellaceae
Description: Bacterial large subunit ribosomal RNA
Rfam family: Bacterial large subunit ribosomal RNA
Source: Rfam by way of RNAcentral